AGAGUUUGAUCCUGGCUCAGGAUGAACGCUGGCGGCGUGCCUAAUACAUGCAAGUCGAACGAAGAUCUAGCUUGCUAGAUCUUAGUGGCGAACGGGUGAGUAAUACAUAAAUAAUCUGCCCAUAUGACUGGGAUAACUAUUGGAAACGAUAGCUAAUACCGGAUAGGUUAAUCGGAGGCAUCUCUGAUGAAUUAAAGUAGGAUUUCUACACAAAUGGAUGAGUUUAUGGCGCAUUAGUUAGUUGGUGGGGUAACGGCCUACCAAGACGGUGAUGCGUAGCCGACCUGAGAGGGUGACCGGCCACACUGGGACUGAGACACGGCCCAGACUCCUACGGGAGGCAGCAGUAGGGAAUUUUCGGCAAUGGGCGCAAGCCUGACCGAGCAACGCCGCGUGAGUGAUUAAGGCCUUCGGGUUGUAAAGCUCUGUUGUAAGGGAAGAACAUUCAGGAUAGGAAAUGAUCUUGAACUGACGGUACCUUACCAGAAAGCCACGGCUAACUACGUGCCAGCAGCCGCGGUAAUACGUAGGUGGCAAGCGUUAUCCGGAAUUAUUGGGCGUAAAGGGUGCGUAGGCGGUUUAUUAAGUCUAUGGUGAAAGUGCGGGGCUCAACCCCGUAUGGCCAUAGAAACUGGUAGACUUGAGUGCAGGAGAGGGCAAUGGAAUUCCAUGUGUAGCGGUAAAAUGCGUAGAUAUAUGGAGGAACACCAGUGGCGAAGGCGGUUGCCUGGCCUGUAACUGACGCUGAAGCACGAAAGCGUGGGGAGCAAAUAGGAUUAGAUACUCUAGUAGUCCACGCC
Molecule: ribosomal RNA, 800 nt
Filed under: uncultured bacterium
Lineage: Bacteria
Description: bacterial SSU rRNA
Rfam family: Bacterial small subunit ribosomal RNA
Source: RNAcentral